RNAcentral lists this non-coding RNA (20 nucleotides) under Chrysemys picta (Painted turtle). Its record names the gene cpi-miR-30a-5p. Lineage: Eukaryota; Metazoa; Chordata; Testudines; Emydidae. The record is from miRBase by way of RNAcentral. RNAcentral also lists the same sequence under 2 other names.
UGUAAACAUCCUCGACUGGA